Mus musculus (house mouse) is the source of this 2801-nucleotide long non-coding RNA. RefSeq annotates it as predicted gene 13536. Lineage: Eukaryota; Metazoa; Chordata; Mammalia; Rodentia; Muridae. The record is from RefSeq and is a predicted model, not a curated record. The transcript is spliced from 2 exons.
GAAAGUGGUGUGGACUUUGGGGGCCCUUGCAGAGUGGGGUGUCAGAUAGAAAAGAACCUUCUAGGGUGCUGGAGAGAUGGUUUAGCAGUUAAGAGCACUGACUGCUCUGUCAGAGGUCCUGAGUUCAAUUCCCAGCAACCAUAUGGUAGCUUACAACCAUCUGUAAUGGAAUCUAAUGCCCUCUUCUAAGUGUGUGUCUGAAGACAGCUGUAGUGUACUCAUAUAAAUAAAAAAAAUAAAUAAAUUAAAAAAAAAAAAGAAAAGAACCUUCUAGAAGGACAAAGCUUAGGGAAGGGUGAUGGAAGAGAGGUGGAGCAGGUCAAACCAUCCCUGCAAGGACCAAGAGAAGCCAGCCGAAGGGAAGCAACCAAGGUCAGGCAAGUGGGCUGGCCUGGUGGCAGCAGGAGGAGCUAGGGUGUCAGCUGGGGGUGUGAUGUCAAGUGCAGCUUGCCCGGCAGUAGCAGGAUCAGCACUGCUUGGAAAAAGACAUUUUGGAGCAGUACAGGCUGGGAGACAGGUGCAGAACAGAAGCUGUUUGGAACUCAUGAAUGUCCUGGGGCCCAACAAUGCAGAGAGCUAAGCAGGGCUGGUUAGUACUGACCUGGUGAUAACCACACUGAUAGGUUUACCUGCAGUAUUGAUUGGGAAUGCUCGCCCACCCAGGACAUGCUCUCCACCUCUACUGCUAUCUAUGUGCAAGGCUCAGCUGGCCCAUCAUCUGCUCAGAAGAAAUUAAAAGUGGGCCUAUAUUUGAAACUCAAAUUGUUUCCUGUUGACUCAAACUAGACCAACUCAUUCAAAGCAAGCCCCCGAGGCUCCUCCAGCUGCCCCCAUCCUCACCUCUGUGCUUUCUCACAAAGGGACAGCACUUUCACUCAACUUACCUUCAAACAGGCCUCUGUUUAGUUUAAUAGAACCAUGGAACCUCUCAUGCUAAGUGCUGUACCACUGAGAGCACACCGGGCACUUUGACACGAGAGAGGCCUUUUUCUUCACGUAGCUGUAGCUACCUGAGAACGAACACAGUUAAAGUCAUUCACUUCACGACUGUGGGUCGGAGCUUACCUCAUUUCCAGCUGCCGAAUGACCCCUGGGUUUAUGGGGCUGUAUGGACCUUCCAGCCACCAGGACUGUCUCGAGGAAUGCUUUGGUGGCUUGGUGGGAAGCAGUCCCUCGCUGACUAAGAAGGGAGCUAAAUAAACCUGCACAGGUGCUUCGAGCUCCAUCUGGGUGGGUAACACCCUUCCCAUCUACCCCUUCUGUUCCCACUCCUGCCACCCCAUCUCCUCCCCGUGCUCACGUGCCACUGCCUCUAAGAGGCCGCCAGCCGCGCUGGGGUGGGGGUGAUGUGUGCUGUGUGACUGCUCCUCAGGUGACCUCUGCUGCAGUGCUGUCCACCAGCAUCUCAAGGAAGGGGUGACAAGGGGACCAGAAUGAGUCGCCACGAUGCAGACGCAGUGCUGUUUGCCUAUGGCCAGAACGAACAGGCCUCUAUUUCAAAAUGGGGCUAGGCAGGGUCUUCCGGAGGCCUUCCCUGCCUAGAGACCGCUAAGUGAGCCCAGGCAAUCCGGAGCUGGCUUCAAAAUCAGCAACAGGGCGGUGGGGGUGGGGGUGGGGGUGCCUCACAACAAACAGUGGUAACAGAAGGUUUGUGUGGGAAGAUGGUCUAAAACAAGCAGUGUCUGUGGUAAUGAGCUGUUGUGAGGAAGUAUGUGGGGCCUCCGAAGCAGGCUGCUGCUUUUCCAGGGCUGGGCUUUUCGGGGAGAAGGGGAUGCAGGAAGACAAGGAAAGGGCCCGACUGAGGCACAUGGGGACGUUACAGAGCACAGAAGCCCAUAGUGUGCGUGGGGUCCCAAUGAGAAACAGCCAGCAGGGCGGUGAAGCACCUGAGGGCUGGCAAAAAAGCAGGGAGACGGGUCCAAUAUGGAACUGGAAGGGACAAGAAGAGGGUGUGGUACCAAAGCUUACUGUCUGGAACUGUGGCCUAGGAAGGAGAGGCUGCCCACUGCCAACAUGCACCUAGAGACAGCUGGGGGGUAAAGCCCCUCCCUCGGCUUCUCCAUCACACCCCUCCCACCUGCAUCUUCGAUGGCUCCUGACCACAAGCCAAAGGCCAAGGGGCCAGUCAGCCUCUUCCCAGGGGGAGGAUGGAACCAGGCAACGCUUGUGGCAGGCCGGUUUGGAUGGGAUAACCGUCGGCAGCCAUUCUGAGAUCAGGCACUCAUGACACCUGUGAACGGCCUGUGUCGUCUUUACCUAUGGAAGGGUGAUGAUACAACUUUAAAAUCAGACUACGAAAGCCAGAACCAAAACAUGAGUGAAAACAACACAACUUUGUACAAAAUGGACAGGUAACAUUUAUUAAAACUUGUCAUACAAAAGGACAUGGUCUCUUCUAUAAGAAGAAAAUAUUAAACGGUAACAUUCAAUUAAAACCACGCUGUACACUGAAGACAGCAAUUCUAGAAAGAACUAUUUAACUUCUAAAACACAGGUGGUUCACAAAUAUCCAUGAUAUGCACCUAAUGACAAUCUGCUUAUCAUCCCAUGGUUCUGUGGUCUAAGAGUCACCUGACUUGCAUAAAUAAAAUAACUUUCUGGAAGAAACAUUGGGACCCUCAUAAAAGGAAAGGAGGCAGCAGCAACUGACAUGACACAGGCUUCAAGCAACAUUUAAAAUGAAAAAAAAAAUCACAUUUGCAAAAGGUGUUCCAGCAUCUUCCCACAGGGCACUAUCAGUAGAGGUUUGCAAACUAGUACCUUUAAAUAUGUAAAUAGCAGAGAGAGAACAAAAAGAAAAA